GUAGGUGAACCUGCGGAAGGAUCAUUACAGAAUAAACCUGAUGAGUUGUAGCUGGCCCAUUCACAUGGGCAAGUGCUCGCUUGUCAUUUUUAUCCAUCCACCAUGUGCACUAUGCAUAGGCCUGAAGAAUUUUUAUUCAACCCGAGUUCGCUUUGGUUGUUGGGAAUCUGCCAUUGAAAUAAUGGCUUUUUCUGACUUCAGCGCUUAUGAUUUAUUUAAAUACACCAAUGUAUGUUUUAAGAACGCUUUA
Molecule: unclassified non-coding RNA, 250 nt
Filed under: plant metagenome
Description: partial contains small subunit ribosomal RNA, internal transcribed spacer 1, and 5.8S ribosomal RNA
Source: RNAcentral